This is a long non-coding RNA of Thunnus maccoyii (southern bluefin tuna), 467 nucleotides long. RefSeq lists it as uncharacterized. The transcript has 3 exons. The record is from RefSeq and is a predicted model, not a curated record. NCBI's taxonomy places the organism in Eukaryota, Metazoa, Chordata, Actinopteri, Scombriformes, Scombridae.
GAAAAAAAAUGCUUGCAUGAGCAGUGACAGCCACCACAAAUACCAGGAAGCAGACUGCCCAGUACUGACCACACCACUGUCUGACUGGGAAGUGAUCUCUGGGAAAUGAGCUAAAGGACAAAAACACAGAUCCAAACUCUUCUUUCAUGAGUGAGACUAAAAAGACAUCAUGGAUUCAGUGUUUAUGUUAAUUACUGAGAUAAAAGCAAUGUCCAUCAGUCCACCUUCCUACUGACCUCCACUUACAUCCAAGGAAACUGCUGACAAAGCUCCCUCGGUGGACAAAGAACCUUCAUUGCAAGUUAAUUGAUUUCAUCAUCGCGAGAUUCAUAUCCAAUUAUCACACCUACACUGGCAGCUGCGCCCGAAGACAAUCUAUUCCCAUGCGUAAAAAUGUCCAGGAGAGCUCCAAAUAACGCAAGAAACCUUUACAGUAUGAAUUCCGAGACUUAUACUGACUGCAGAGA